This 301-nucleotide ribosomal RNA is filed under the name uncultured bacterium. RNAcentral's name for it is "partial 16S ribosomal RNA". It matches the Rfam family "Bacterial small subunit ribosomal RNA", at positions 509 to 807 of the family's 1533-position model. The record is from RNAcentral.
CAGUCGCCGCGGUAAAACGGAGGGUGCAAGCGUUAAUCGGAAUUACUGGGCGUAAAGCGCACGCAGGCGGUCUGACUAGUCAGAUGUGAAAUCCCCGGGCUUAACCUGGGAACUGCAUUUGAAACUGUCAGGCUGGAGUCUUGUAGAGGGGGGUGGAAUUCCAGGUGUAGCAGUGAAAUGCGUAGAGAUCUGGAGGAAUACCGGUGGCGAAGGCGGCCCCCUGGACAAAGACUGACGCUCAGGUGCGAAAGCGUGGGGAGCAAACAGGAUUAGAUACCCCUGUAGUCCCUGUCCCUUAUAC